RNAcentral lists this ribosomal RNA (489 nucleotides) under uncultured bacterium. Its description in RNAcentral is "bacterial SSU rRNA". It matches the Rfam family "Bacterial small subunit ribosomal RNA", at positions 9 to 518 of the family's 1533-position model. The record is from RNAcentral.
AGAGUUGAUCCUGGCUAGGACGAACGCUGGCGGCGUGCCUAACACAUGCAAGUCGAGCGAGGAGAUCCUCGGGAUGAUCCUAGCGGCGGACGGGUGAGUAACACGUGGGCAACCUGCCUCAUAGAGAGGAAUAGCCUUCCGAAAGGGAGAUUAAUACCUCAUAACAUUGCAGUUUCGCAUGGAACAGCAAUUAAAGGAGUAAUCCGCUAUGAGAUGGGCCCGCGGCGCAUUAGCUAGUUGGUGAGGUAACGGCUCACCAAGGCGACGAUGCGUAGCCGACCUGAGAGGGUGAUCGGCCACAUUGGGACUGAGACACGGCCCAGACUCCUACGGGAGGCAGCAGUGGGGAAUAUUGCACAAUGGGGAAACCCUGAUGCAGCCAACGCCGCGUGAGUGAUGACGGCCUUCGGGUUGUAAAGCUCUGUCUUCAGGGACGAUAAUGACGGUACCUGAGGAGGAAGCCACGGCUAACUACGUGCCAGCAGCAGC